GUUGAACGCUGGCGGCGUGCUUAACACAUGCAAGUCGAACGAGAAAUGUAGACGGACACCUUCGGGCGGAAGCCUUCAUUUCGAGUGGCGGACGGGUGAGUAACGCGUGGGUAACCUGCCUCAUACAGGGGGAUAACAGUUGGAAACGACUGUUAAUACCGCAUAAGACCACAGCAUCGCAUGAUGCGGGGGUAAAAACUCCGGUGGUAUGAGAUGGACCCGCGUUCGAUUAGCCAGUUGGCGGGGUAACGGCCCACCAAAGCGACGAUCGAUAGCCGAUCUGAGAGGAUGACCGGCCACAGUGGGACUGAGACACGGCCCAAACUCCUACGGGAGGCAGCAGUGGGGAAUAUUGCACAAUGGGGGAAACCCUGAUGCAGCGACGCCGCGUGAGUGAAGAAGUACUUCGGUAUGUAAAGCUCUAUCAGCAGGGAAGAAAAUGACGGUACCUGAGGAAGAAGCCCCGGCUAACUACGUG
Molecule: ribosomal RNA, 478 nt
Filed under: uncultured bacterium
Lineage: Bacteria
Description: partial 16S ribosomal RNA
Rfam family: Bacterial small subunit ribosomal RNA
Source: RNAcentral